CUCUCUCUCUGCAGCUCCACGACGCCUCUCUCUGCAACUCCACGAUGCCGAACGGACUCUCUGCUGCAACUCCAGCAGCUACCCACCGCGGCUCUCUCUCUCUCUCUCUCUCUCUCUCUCUCUCUCUCUCUCCCCUUGUGCCAAGCAAGAGCUCUCUCUCAAUCGGGUGGCGAAGAAACCUCCAUACGUGGCACAAUCACUCUCGAUUUCCCUCUCUUAGAAAUCUCAAUCCGAUUCCACAUUGCAAGUGGUCAAAGAGCUCAGAGAAUGCCUGCCAGUCAGUGAUUGUAAGCAGGGGAAGUGUGAGUAGAAAUGGUUUUUUGAACUGUGUGGCGUCCACAUUGCUGCUCACUCAAUGAAUGGUCCAGCCACCUUACAGUCUGGUCCAUGUAGGCAGUUCCCAUAUGGUGGAUGUGAUGUAUGAGUUGGUUCCACCGCAUUCAACUGUAACAUCAUCUCAGCCUUAUCCCAAUUUAUUGGGUCGGCCAUGCUCUACCACCAUACUAUGCUAUAAUGCUUCCUGGCAAUGUAUGGAGCAUGGUUGCAGAAAGCCUUUGGGGCUGAGCAAUUGUUUGCCGAAAGUAAUUUCAAAAGGUGGGUUCUAUGGUGAAGGUUGUGGCUGAUGAAGAGGUGAAGUUGGGCUCUUUGAUUGUAAAAGCCAUUGAUUGUAGUCUAAGAUCCGUUUUACUUGAGAAUGG
Molecule: long non-coding RNA, 698 nt
Organism: Magnolia sinica
Lineage: Eukaryota; Viridiplantae; Streptophyta; Magnoliopsida; Magnoliales; Magnoliaceae
Exons: 3
Source: RefSeq, a predicted model, not a curated record